GGGUACAUAGCUCAAUGGUAGAGCACGUGCUUAGCAUGCACAGGGUCCUGGGUUCAAUCCCCAGUACCUCCA
RNAcentral lists this transfer RNA (72 nucleotides) under Camelus bactrianus (Bactrian camel). It matches the Rfam family "tRNA". From Rfam's summary of the family: Transfer RNA (tRNA) molecules are approximately 80 nucleotides in length. Their secondary structure includes four short double-helical elements and three loops (D, anti-codon, and T loops). The record is from Rfam by way of RNAcentral. RNAcentral also lists the same sequence under 2 other names. Lineage: Eukaryota; Metazoa; Chordata; Mammalia; Artiodactyla; Camelidae.